AAUCAACGCUGGCGGCAUGCCUAACACAUGCAAGUCGAACGCGAAAGUUCCUUCGGGAAUGAGUAGAGUGGCGUCCGGGUGAGUAACGCGUGGGUAAUCUGCCUUUGGGUGGGGAAGUAACCCAGGGAAACGUUGGGCGUAAUACCGCAUAAUGCAGCGGCUCGACAUCGAGACAGUUGUUAAAGCCUCUCGCAAGAGGGGCGCCUAAAGAGGAGCCUGCGUCUGAUUAGCAGUUGGUGGGGUAAUGGCCUACCAAGGCUACGAUCAGUAGCUGGUCUGAGAGGACGGCCAGCCACAAUGGCACUGAAAC
This 310-nucleotide ribosomal RNA is filed under the name uncultured bacterium. RNAcentral describes it as "bacterial SSU rRNA". It matches the Rfam family "Bacterial small subunit ribosomal RNA", at positions 32 to 325 of the family's 1533-position model. The record is from RNAcentral.